This 379-nucleotide ribosomal RNA is filed under the name uncultured eukaryote. RNAcentral's name for it is "partial 18S ribosomal RNA". It matches the Rfam family "Eukaryotic small subunit ribosomal RNA", at positions 592 to 976 of the family's 1831-position model. The record is from RNAcentral.
CAAUAGCGUAUAUUUAAGUUGUUGCAGUUAAAAAGCUCGUAGUUGGAUUUCGGAUGGGACUUGCCGGUCCGUCGUUUCGAUGUGCACUGGCCAGUCCUAUCUUGUUGUCGGGGACUAGCUCCUGGGCUUCACUGUCCGGGACUAGGAGCUGACGAGGUUACUUUAAGUAAAUUAGAGUGUUCAAAGCAAGCCUACGCUCUGAAUACAUUAGCAUGGAAUAACACGAUAGGACUCUGGCUUAUCUUGUUGGUCUGUGAGACCAGAGUAAUGAUUAAGAGGGACAGUCGGGGGCAUUCGUAUUUCAUUGUCAGAGGUGAAAUUCUUGGAUUUAUGAAAGACGAACUUCUGCGAAAGCAUUUGUCAAGGAUGUUUUCAUUAA